RNAcentral lists this long non-coding RNA (7765 nucleotides) under Populus tremula. Its description in RNAcentral is "long non-coding RNA (PTRE_LNC003204)". Lineage: Eukaryota; Viridiplantae; Streptophyta; Magnoliopsida; Malpighiales; Salicaceae. The record is from RNAcentral.
UAAUUUUGAAAGGAAAGUAAAAACCUAAAAAUCUAAACUUUUCUUCUUCCCUACUAAAAAAGCAGCCGCCAGGGAGACCCCCCCCUCUUUUGGGAAAUUUUUUCCUUCUUCUCCGAUAACAGCUGGAACCUCCCCCUUCGGAUUUUGCUUCUCCCCGGCUUGUUGCUUCCCCAAAACAGCAGCAACAUUGACAAACCAAAGAGCCCCGCUAGUUUUCAUUUUUGGGCUCCCUAAGCCGCUCCCCAGUUUUAAUUUUCUUCCUCCCCAGCCCUUGCACAGCCACCUGCACACAGAGCCGCUCUCACUUCUCCUCCAAAAAAAAGGCUACGGCGAAUCCCCCUUUGCCUUGACAAAGCAAGUCAAGCCAUCACCAUUUCCACAUUUUCUCUCAUCUUCAAAGCCGAAACCAGAGAAGCCAAGGCAGCCCUCUUCCCGUCUCCUUAGUCUUCCUCUCGGCUAAAAAGCCAAAAUCAGCUGAAACCCCACACAUCCAUCUCCUUUCCUGCGAACCAACCUCCCUUUACUUCCCCAUCAUCUCUCCAUCAACGCCGGUUUCCACCAGCUGAUCUUCCCUCUUCAACCGCAGGCGCCAUCGCUUAUUUGCCCUCUGAUCGGACAGCCUCCAGCUCCCCUUGGCCACCACAGCCAUGAAAUCGCAGGAGCUCCCCAUUCCAGCUUCCCACCGACACCCCUGAAAGCAUCGGCCAGCAGGUUUUUCCUUCCUCAGCCGCCGUGCACACUAGCCAGCAGCCGUCCUUCUUCCUCCAGCGGUGCCCACAGUCGCUCCCCAUGCCUCUAGCAGCGACGCCCCUCUGGUUCGGGUCCUCUUCCUUGCCGGCGAUUUGAAACGGAGAAGAAAGAGAAGCCCAAACAACCGGAUCUGUGGGAUGCAGAUAUGAAAAAACCGAGAAGAAAAGGGGACAGCUUGCUGUUGUGUUUUGUUCUUUUUGCAGGUGAUAGUGGUUAUCAUUACCGGUGCAGGGAGACGACGCUGAGCAGAUCCACCCCGUCUCCUGUUUCUGCUUGCGGCGGCGCGUGAACCCACGCGCCGCCACUGUUCAGCAGUUCCGGCAGUGUCCUUCAAUGCAAUUUCUGGACUUUUAGGGACUGUUUUUGUAAAAUUUAAAUUAAUUAAUGUAAUUUGUAUUUAUUUGUUUUGAAUUUAUUUUGUGUAAAUGUGAAUGUAAAAGAAAAGAAAAAAAGAAAUAAUAAUAAAAAAGAGAUGUGUGUGUUUGUAUUUUUUUUAUGUAAUUGAAUAAAAAAAAUGCAUGUGUACAUUUGUUUAAUGAAAUUUUUUUUUCUCUUUGAUGAGACAGCAGAUAAUAAAGAAGGAUUUAAUAUUUUGAUUGGAUCACGGUGUAGAAGUACAAACUUGUACGGAAGUUGUAUUUCUAAAAUCCGAUGAAAAAACAAAAUUUUUAAAACUUCUUUAACACAUCAAGUCCACGGAGCAGCUUACCUCAGGUAGGGUGUGUUAGGGGUGCUAACACCUUCCCUAACCACAAUCAGUCCCUUACCCGCGAAUCUCUGACCAUGACCAGUCCACCAGGGUUUCCUAGUAACCUCAAUUAAAUACUAGGUGGCGACUCCUAACAAACCAAUUCAAGCAAUACAACAACGAGACAUAAAUCGCCAGCCGAUUGCACGCGCGUGGAUUUUUCGACGUGCGACAGAAUGGCGACUCCACUGGGGAGGUAUUGUUUCUGAUAAUUUUGGACUAAGCUUUGUGUACUUGAUGUGUUUAAUUUUUGCCAUUUUUGUCUUGCUUUAUUUUAUGCAUGCAUUUUUAGAAUUGUUUCAUGCAUCACUUGUAUUUAUUUUUGAAAGCACACACAAGCUUUCUAUGUUAGGUGGGGAGUAGCAGUCUACCUCAUGACUUUCAGUCGGGGUUCAGAUUUGUGAAACAUCCAACUAUGAGCUGAGUGUUUACUCGGUAAUGGCGGUCACAUGGUGCCCCAACCAUUCCUUGUAAACCCCUAUACUGCCUUCACGUGAGGUGGUCACUGGGCAGUUCAUAGACCCUUUUGAGACCAGGUAGAAAACCUACCCAUGUUCACACAAUGACUAGAACCUAUCCUUAGGUUGUAUGUGCUAUCAUUUAUUUGCAUCGGGGUGAACCCUUCUUGAAGCAUCUUGAACUCAAGAUUUUUGGGUGACACAAUGGCCGUCACUCCGAAAAUUUUCAUUGUAGAGUUUGGGCAAAAAUCAUGAUUUUUGUUCCAUCAUACAUGAGUUACGACCAUGUUGUCACCCCUCGAAGGGCGAGUUCAUCAUAUAGACUUCAUGUUCAUACAUUUGUCAUGCAUGCACCAGAAUAAAAAGUAGGUCCCCUUCGAGUCUACAACACCUGAUUUUGAGAGAAACAUUGGAGACGAAGAGCGUGCUCAUCGCAGAAUCCAUUUCCAAGAAGAGUUAGAGUCUCUGAAAGCAAGUGUGGCUUGCCUCACUAGCUUACUUGAGCAAACACUUAGAAAUGCCUCUAGUGAAGGUCCUUCCAAUUGGCCAGUCAUUUUUGUUCGCAGCCCCAACAAAGACUCAACAUGAAGAAAUUGGGGGCCCACAUGAUCAAGAGCCUCAACACAAUUUGAAGGUGAAUUGCAUCAUCGUUGUAGAAUGGAGCCUGUUCUUGCUCUGCCAAAAUAACUACCUCAGUUUGAUCAUGCCUCCAAAAACUUGAUUUUUUGUUUCAACCUAUUCUAGUUUUUGUUGGUAAUUUGGCUCAAAAUUCCACAAGACUUUCCCUGUUCACUAAGCCUUUAUCAUGUGUUUUGUUGUGUUCAUCACAUGCCAUCAUUUUUGUUGUUUCAUGCAAAUAACACAUUGAGCGUAACCUUUAAGCAUGAAACCACCGCGCCCAAAAUCUUGUGGUGCGUUUCCUCUUUUCUUCCCAAAAACAAAACAGGACCCCAUGUUUUCAUAAGGAUUUUUGGGAAUUCAAAGUUUAGUACAAAAACAGAAAUCAUGUUGAUGUUUGUUUGAAACGAAUGAGUUCUGGAAAUUCAGGUGAUUUCUUAGAGAGGUAACCAUACACCUAGAAAACCCAAAAAAAAAAAAAACACCAUGAAGUGACUUCAAAAGCUGAGUUUUAUUUGCAUGAAUAAGAAAUCACUCUGCAUACUCGCAUGAAAGCAAGGCUUACCGAUCCUAAAUGCGUGCAUUUGAGAUGAAGAAAGGCCAUCUUUGAUAAUCCUUUCACAAGGCUGAAAUAUAUCAUUUGCAGUCCCCUUUUGAGCCUAAUAAAUUUUUCUUAAAAAAUAACCUUGGCUAGGAUCAUACCCUACACUGGGGGGCAAGUGCAAAAAAAAAAUCCAUAAUGAUUGAAAGUGCCCAAAUAUCUCUUGGGGGCAUGAAAAAGUCUUCAACAAUGAAAGUGCCCAAACAAUACUAGAGGGCAUAAAAGAAAAUUUUCAAUCAUCAAAGGUGCCCGUACAAAGCUAGGGGGCAUAAAAAAAAUCUAAAUGAUCCAAAAUUCUGAGCAUAAAAAAAAGAAAGAAGAAGCUAAUUAAAUGAUGCUCAAAAUCAAAUGAAGAAAACAAAAACAAAGAGAAAGAGCCCGAGCCCAACACUAGGGGGCACCGUGGAUCAUUUUUACAAAUCAAUUCCAAGGUCCAGAAAUAUAUGAACAAAAGAGUUUGGGAUAUAAGCACUUGUGAUCCUUAGUCUUAAAGUCCCUUAAACACCUUUUGAGCCUAUAAAUAUCCUUUUCUUCAUAGCCAAUAGCCCAAGCCUACAUUACGUGCCUAAUCAAGCCCUUUCUGAUCAAAGGCAAGCAAUCUGGAUCGGUAGGCAGUGCUUUCUCAUGCGAAAUAAAAUCAUUAUUCAUGCAAAUAAAAUUAAUGCUUUGAAAAUGGUUCUCAAUAACCCUCAAAUUGAAAUUUAAACCUUUUGUGACCAACCAGAUGUCACUUCAUGUUCAUCAUAUUUUCGCCAACGGUUCUCAAUAACCCACAAAUUGAAAUUUCAACCUUUUGUGACCAACCAAAUGUCACUUCAUAUUUUUCACCAAAAAAAAAAAGUUUUCAUCACUUCUGAAAACCUCUCCAUAGGAAUCACUUGAAUUUCUUCAGAAUGAGUUCGUGUUGAAUCGAUGUCAAAAUGAUUUCUGUGUGUGGAAUAGCUUUGAAAUUCCAAAAAUUCUGCAUGAAAACAACUCCUUGUCAAACCUUCCUUCACAUAGCCUCAUCCCCAAACCCGAAUUGAAUGCUUGGGGGCAUGAUCAAGCUAGGGGGCAAUCAAAAACAUCUGGUAAAGCUGGCUCCGUGAUUCCCUUUCUAAGAAACAAUGGGGAAAAAUUAGCAACCCUUGAGAUAAAAAGGGCGGAGAACAAAGAAAUGAUGGCAUCAAGUCUUUCCUAGAGGCCAAGAUCGUAAGAUAUUUCUUGAGUAAGCAAGGGGGACAAAAGCCAUCAAAGCUUACUAUCAGAGACUUAAACUUUUAAGAAAAGGAGAACUCCAUGAAGAAAAGGGGACCUAUAUUUCUCAGGUAAGUAUACAUGCAUAUUGUUCAUGAUGCAUUGCUUUCAUCCUUGACAGAUCGGUGUCUCACCAUCACCUCUUUUUGAGCGGGUUGCUGGAUCCUAACCUUUUAGGUUGUGUGUUUUCCAACCCUACCUCCUUAUGAGGGCGUCUUUUAGCCCUCACCCCUUGGGUAAUGUGUUUUCUAACCAUACCUCCUUUUGAAUGUGCUUUAGAGCCUCCAGCCAUCUUAGGUAGUGUGUUUUCUGACCCUACCUCUCCUUUUAAGGGCGCCUUUGAGCCCUCACCACUUUAGGUAGUGCGUUUUCAAACCUUACCUCCUUUCGAAUAUAUCGUCGAUACCUCACCUCUCGGGUAGUGUGUUUUUCAACCCUACCUCCUUUAGAGUGCGCCUUCGAGCCCUAACCUCUUAGGUAGUGUGUUUUCCAAACCCUGCCUCUCUUUUUGAGAGCUCCUUCGAGCCCUCACCUCUUGUGUAAUGUGUUUUCCAAUCUUACCUCCUUUUUUAGUACGCCUUCGAGCCUUAACCCUUUAGGUAGUGCGUUUUCCAACCCUGCCUCUUUUUUAGCGCGCCUUCGAGCUAACAACCCCUUUAGGUAGUGUGUUUUAUGACCCUACCUCCCCUUUUGAGUGCGCCUUAGAGCCUUCAACCACUUUAGGUAGUGCGUUUCCCAACCUUACCUCCUUUCGUAUGCUCCUUCGAGCCCUCACCACUUUAGGUAGUGAGUUUUCCAACCCUACCUCCUUUUGAAUGCUCCUUUGAACCCUUACCCCUCAGGUAGUGCGUUUUCCCAACCUUGCCUCCUUUUGAGAGCUCCUUCGAGCCCUCACCUCUUGUGUGGUGUGCUUUCUAGCCCUUUUUGCCUUCUUUAGAGUGCGCCUUGGAGCACUCACCUCUUAGGUAGUGUGUUUUUCGAACCCUAUCUCCUUUCGAGUGCGCUCUUCAGCCCUCGUUCCCCAUCGAGUCCUAUCAUGUCGUCCCUUUGAGACAUUUUGCCUUUUCACCCGGGCAGGUCACCCAUUAUAAUCAGACUUCUUUCAAAACUCUUUUCAUCUUCCAUUUGGGCCGGUUGCCCAUAACAAUAAAACCACUUUGAAAAAUCUCUGCAUUUUUCACCACCUUGAAAAAUCUUUACAUUUUUCACCAAUUUUGAGAAAUCCUUGCAUUUCUCCCCACUCUCAAACUUUUUCACUUGGGCCGGUUGCCCAUCACAACAAGACCACUUUGAGAAAUCUUUGCAUUUCUCACCACUUUGAGAAAUCUUUGCAUUUCUCACCACUUUGAAAAAUCUCUGUAUUUUUCACCCCUUUGAAAAAUCUCUGCAUUUUUCACCACUUUGAGAAAUCUUUGUAUUUCUCACCACCUCCAAAAAUUUUCACCAUCUUGAAAAAUCUUUGCAUUUCUCACCUCUUUGAAAAAAUCUUUGUAUUUUUCAAAACCUUUCCAUCGGGCCGGUUGCCCAUUACAAUAAAACCACUUUGAAAAAUCUCUGCAUUUUUCACCACUUUGAGAAAUCUUUGUAUUUCUCACCACUUUGAAAAAUCUUUGCAUUUUUCAUCACUUUCCAUCUAGGCAAGUCGCCCAUCACAACAAGAUCAUUUUUUAGAAAUCUUCGCAUUUCUCACCACUUUGAAAAAUCUCUGCAUUUUUCGCCUCUUUGAAAAAAUCUUUGUAUUUUUCAAAACCUUUCAAUUGGGUCGUUUGCCCAUUACAACAAAACCACUUUGAAAAAUCUUUGCAUUUUUCAUCAUUUUGAGAAAUCUGUGCAUUUCUCACCACCUCUAAAAUUUUUCACCAUCUUGAGAAAUCUUUGCAUUUCUCACCACUUUGAAAAAUCUCUGCAUUUUUCACCUAUUUGAAAAAAUCUUUGUAUUUUUCAAAACCUUUCAUCUGGGCCGGUUGCCCAUAACAAUAAAACCAUUUUUAUAAAUCUUCGUAUUUCUCACCACUUUGAAAAAUCUCUGUAUUUUUCACCAUUUUGAGAAAUCUUCGCAUUUCUCACCACUUUGAAAAAUCUCUGUAUUUUUCACCACUUUAAAACAUCUUCGUGUUUUUCACCCGGGUAGGUCACCCAUGACAAUUCGACCAUUUCAAAAUCUUUGAAAAAAAAAAAAAAAAAAAAAAACAUCUUCCUUUUUUCUUCUUUACAACGCUUACUAUCUAAAGUCCCCUACGAGACUUGCUAUCGUAAGCAUUGUAAAGAGGGGGGCAACUGUCAUAACCCAAUUUUGGAUUAUUCCCUAAAUUUCACUUUUUUUAAAAUAAAAAAAAUAAAAAAUAAAAUAAAGGCUGGCACUGCGGAGAAAGCCAAUAAAAAAAAGACUGCAAAAAUAGGCAAAAAUCGAAGGUCAAAUUAAAUGCAUAUUCGAAGGUCAAAUCAAAUGAUUAUUGGAUGAAUUUGCAUAAAAAUUAAGUCCAAUGACAUAAUUAAAUUUUUAAUGGGCCAAUUUGAUUUAAUCAUGGGUCAAAUUAAAUUUUAAUUAUGUUUGAGAAUAAAUUUAGGUCCAAUUGAAGGAUUUAAUUAAGUGAAAGGACUUGAUUAUACUUUAAAUGGGUCAAAUUAAUUUGGGGGCUUAAUUGGUGAAAAAUUAAGUUUGGGAGCUUAAUUUGGACUGAUUUGAAAAGAUUGAAAUUUUAAGAGACCAAAUUUAAUUUUUACUAAGUGAAUUGAUUGAAAAAAUUGAGGGACCAAUUGUGAGACCCGAAAAAAAUGUCUUGCCUAUAAAUAGCAGCCUACAAAAAUCAGUAAAGGGGGGGGUUCAUUUUUGUAAUUUUGAAAGGAAAGUAAAAACCUAAAAAUCUAAACUUUUCUUCUUCCCUACUAAAAAAGCAGCCGCCAGGGAGACCCCCCCCUCUUUUGGGAAAUUUUUUCCUUCUUCUCCGAUAACAGCUGGAACCUCCCCCUUCGGAUUUUGCUUCUCCCCGGCUUGUUGCUUCCCCAAAACAGCAGCAACAUUGACAAACCAAAGAGCCCCGCUAGUUUUCAUUUUUGGGCUCCCUAAGCCGCUCCCCAGUUUUAAUUUUCUUCCUCCCCAGCCCUUGCACAGCCACCUGCACACAGAGCCGCUCUCACUUCUCCUCCAAAAAAAAGGCUACGGCGAAUCCCCCUUUGCCUUGACAAAGCAAGUCAAGCCAUCACCAUUUCCACAUUUUCUCUCAUCUUCAAAGCCGAAACCAGAGAAGCCAAGGCAGCCCUCUUCCCGUCUCCUUAGUCUUCCUCUCGGCUAAAAAGCCAAAAUCAGCUGAAACCCCACACAUCCAUCUCCUUUCCUGCGAACCAACCUCCCUU